RNAcentral lists this ribosomal RNA (475 nucleotides) under uncultured organism. Its description in RNAcentral is "partial 16S ribosomal RNA". It matches the Rfam family "Bacterial small subunit ribosomal RNA", at positions 333 to 799 of the family's 1533-position model. The record is from RNAcentral.
ACACUCCUACGGGAGGCAGCAGUGGGGAAUUUUGGACAAUGGGCGAAAGCCUGAUCCAGCAAUGCCGCGUGAGUGAAGAAGGCCUUCGGGUUGUAAAGAUCUUUUGUCAGGGAAGAAACGGUGAAAGCUAAUAUCUUUUGCUAAUGACGGUACCUGAAGAAUAAGCACCGGCUAACUACGUGCCAGCAGCCGCGGUAAUACGUAGGGUGCAAGCGUUAAUCGGAAUUACUGGGCGUAAAGCGUGCGCAGGCGGUUUUGUAAGUCUGAUGUGAAAUCCCCGGGCUCAACCUGGGAAUUGCAUUGGAGACUGCAAGGCUAGAAUCUGGCAGAGGGGGGUAGAAUUCCACGUGUAGCAGUGAAAUGCGUAGAUAUGUGGAGGAACACCGAUGGCGAAGGCAGCCCCCUGGGUCAAGAUUGACGCUCAUGCACGAAAGCGUGGGGAGCAAACAGGAUUAGAAACCCCAGUAGUCCCAUG